AUGCUUCUGUUCAAUUAUAAUGUUAUGAUCAUGCGAUUAUUUCUUUACUGUUGUUUUUCUUUAUUCGUAUUUUUAUUUUUAAUUUUUUUAAAUUUUGUUUUAACAGUAAAAUCAAACCUACUUCCUGGUACGCACAUGUUUCAGAACAUUUGAUUGGUUGACAAAAGAGCGGGUGGAUACAAUUUGUUAAUCAAAUUUGGCCCCGCCCCUUUCAUCGACGCCCCGAAGAUGCCGUUGCAGUGACUCAGCAAAUCCGGAAAGCAUAGAAGUGCAUGGAUGGCUACAGCGAGAGGACGAGCAGGAUGUUUAUGAGCCACGAUUGUCCUGAGGACACAGUGGCGAGUCCAAGGGUCGCUCUUUUUCGACUACUACUGCUGCUGCUGUGGCCGUCUGAUUCUGGGCCCAUCAUUAACCAGCUUUUAACUGCAGGCUGGUGGAGGACGGUGUGGAGCCUCUCGCUGUGAUGGUGUCGCGACUCCUCCUCGUACGCCAUGUCCCGGUCGGCCUGCGGGAGCGCCAGGAACCGCCGGAUGGUGCACAAGUUCUCCCAAAGGGUGCGGUUCUCCGGGCUGGGGUUUUCCUUCCAGCGGAGCAGCUCGCACAGCCAACCCUGCGAGGUGACAUGGAUGCACCA
This is a long non-coding RNA of Entelurus aequoreus (snake pipefish), 634 nucleotides long. RefSeq lists it as uncharacterized. The transcript has 3 exons. The record is from RefSeq and is a predicted model, not a curated record. NCBI's taxonomy places the organism in Eukaryota, Metazoa, Chordata, Actinopteri, Syngnathiformes, Syngnathidae.